AGUGAUUGCCACUGUUGCCCGUGGAUGGGUCCCCGAGACUUUGCGAAGUAGGAGCCCCGUGUGAUAGUGCGUCAGAGUUGGGUCUGAGAGCAGUCCUGGCCAAGGCAUUAACAGGAUCGUCUCCAGAGCCUGGGAUUCUCGGAGGGUUGACCACCAGGAAGAAACCUCAGAAGGAAGAAACCUCAGAAGGUAAGAUUGGGGAAGAUGCCAGGUGAUAGAAUCCACCCUGCCUCUGACAGCAUCCAAUCUGGAGCAAAGGCUUAUUUCAACCCUCCCCCAAGCUCCCAAUACAAGCCCAAAUUCUGGAACAGGUCCUUUCCAACACCUCCUUCAGAGAAGCUCCCUGGCUCCAGGCAGUGCUUGCUCCCCUCACUGCAGCAGGAAGCCUAACUUGCGAACUGCAGGUGUGCUCCAGGUGGUCACUGGAUGCAAGGCAUUGACAGAUGGAUCCCAUCGAUACCCCCACUGCAAAACCAUAGUGCAGUGAAUAGAAGACACUUCUCUGCACCCCAAAAGCUCCAUGCUGAUUGUGAGAAGGAAAUGCUGGAUGGAGGGGUUCCUGGAACUACUGUGAGGGAUGAUACUCCAAAUUGAUACUUAAUAUACAGAAAUGACUAUCAUGGACAUAACCCACAACAUGUGAAAUGUAUGGCUCAUUCUACUGACAUUAUACAGGAAAGUUAAUGACAACUGAAUUUCUAGUCAUUUUCCACCCAACAAGUUGCUUAUAAAAUGUCAAGGAAUUGUAGAAAUGGUGAGAGAACUUUGGAUGUGGAACGUGGAGGAGGAGGAACACGAAGUGGGGAUCUCCACUUGGGGUGGUCAGCACUGCGGGUGCCCAGCAAAGUCACUGCCUGGUCCACAUCCCGGAGGGGUCUCUGCGCCUCAGUCGGCAUCGCAGCUGAUGGUGAAACUUUUGGUGUGGCAGAAGAGUGUCCACAAACUUCGGAAGAUCGCUGCUCAGAGUGAGGAAUGGAGUUGUGUUUUGAAUAAAAUAUCCACGCAUCCUUUUGU
This 1014-nucleotide long non-coding RNA is filed under the name Homo sapiens (human). Its description in RNAcentral is "family with sequence similarity 182 member A". Lineage: Eukaryota; Metazoa; Chordata; Mammalia; Primates; Hominidae. The record is from RNAcentral.